UCGCCUGUUUAACAAAAACAUGUCUUUUUGAUUUUUUUUUAAAGUUUAACCUGCCCAGUGAAUUAAAAUUUUAACGGCCGCAGUAUACUGACUGUGCAAAGGUAGCAUAAUCAAUAGUCUUUUAAUUGAAGGCUUGAAUGAAUGGUUGGACGAGAUAUUAACUGUUUCAUUUAAAUUUAUAAUAAAAUUUUAUUUUUUAGUUAAAAAGCUAAAAUAAAUUUAAAAGACGAGAAGACCCUAUAAAUCUUUAUAUUUAGUUUAUUAUAAAUUUAUAGAAUAUUUUUUUUAUAAUAAUUAUAAUAUUUUAUUGGGGUGAUAUUAAAAUUUAACAAACUUUUAAUUUUAUGUUACAUUAAUUUAUGAUUUAUUGAUCCAUUAUUAUUGAUUAAAAAUUUAAGUUACUUUAGGGAUAACAGCGUAAUUUUUUUGGAGAGUUCAUAUCAAUAAAAAAUAUUGCGACCUCGAUGUUGGAUUAAGAUAUAGUUUUAGGUGUAGUCGCUUAAAUUUUAAGUCUGUUCGACUUUUAAAUUCUUACAUGA
This 539-nucleotide ribosomal RNA is filed under the name Lispe orientalis. Its description in RNAcentral is "partial 16S ribosomal RNA". It matches the Rfam family "Bacterial large subunit ribosomal RNA", at positions 1796 to 2603 of the family's 2925-position model. The record is from RNAcentral. Lineage: Eukaryota; Metazoa; Arthropoda; Insecta; Diptera; Muscidae.